AGUGUUGGCAUGCUCGUUCUACAGCCAUGCCAUCGAUGGCAUGCUGCUGCUCGUCGCGAGCCGCGCACACGCGCCCCUGCGCCGCACCGCCGAGCACCCCCAGUCCGCCCGGCUUUGUUGAACCCUCCCAUGGCCGCCCCAUCACCAACCUGUCUCGCCGCAGGCGAGGGCGCCGCCGCCAUUGCCGCUCGUGCUGCUGCUCCCGUCGCCGGCCCUCCUCCGGCCACCUCGGCAUCAACCAAGACCACCCAGAGGUACGAUAGAUGAACCACGUGAAGGACGUGAUAUUGGAACCGAACACGAAGACGAUGUUUGGUGGACAUAUCCAGAAGAGGCAAAGAACCAGGAGUACAUGCUUGGACCGGAAUACUCGCCAAGCGAGUGUCAUCUAACUAACACUGACUCAGUGUUAAUCCCAGGCAAUCCCCGGAGCAUAACCUAUUAUUUUAACUUAUGAAAUGUUAUAUAUGUAUUUACUUGCUUAUGCAUUACGUUUCUAGGCAUUGGAUGAAACCCUAGUUGCAUAAUUCCUAGGUUCCAUUGGUCGGAAUACUAGUAUGUUUAUGUGGUUAUCCUUGCCAUGCUAAAAUUAGGAUUCGGUAGAAGUCGAGUAAUGUCCUGUUACUCGCGAGAUAUAGGAUGGCUUUAUGAUUGAUUAUGGAAUAUUGGAAUAUGGA
This is a long non-coding RNA of Panicum virgatum (switchgrass), 677 nucleotides long. RefSeq lists it as uncharacterized. The transcript is spliced from 2 exons. NCBI's taxonomy places the organism in Eukaryota, Viridiplantae, Streptophyta, Magnoliopsida, Poales, Poaceae. The record is from RefSeq and is a predicted model, not a curated record.